AGCAGCCGCGGUAAUUCCAGCUCCAAUAGCGUAUAUUAAAGUUGUUGCAGUUAAAAAGCUCGUAGUUGAAUUUCGGGAUCAAAUUGUCGGUCGUGCCUCGGUACGUACUGGUAUUAUUGGUUCCUCCCUUCUGACGAACCACGAUGUCAUUAAUUUGGUGUCAUGGGAAAUCAGGACUGUUACUUUGAAAAAAUUAGAGUGUUUAAAGCAGGCUCGCGCUUGAAUACAUUAGCAUGGAAUAAUGAAAUAGGACGUUUGAUUCUAUUUUGUUGGUUUCUAGGAUCGACGUAAUGAUUAAUAGGGAUAGUUGGGGGCAUUAGUAUUCAAUUGUCAGAGGUGAAAAUUCUUGGAUUUAUUGAAGACUAACUACUGCGAAAGCAUUUGCCAAGGAUGUUUUCAUUAAUCAAGAACGAAGUUAGGGAUCGAAGACGAUCAGAUACCGUCGUAGUCUUAACCAUAAACUAUGCCGACUAGGGAUCGGAUGAUGUUUAAUUUUUAAUGUACUUCAUUCGGCGCCGUU
This 520-nucleotide ribosomal RNA is filed under the name uncultured Glomus. RNAcentral describes it as "SSU rRNA". It matches the Rfam family "Eukaryotic small subunit ribosomal RNA", at positions 569 to 1090 of the family's 1831-position model. The record is from RNAcentral. Lineage: Eukaryota; Fungi; Glomeromycota; Glomeromycetes; Glomerales; Glomeraceae.